Molecule: ribosomal RNA, 996 nt
Filed under: uncultured bacterium
Lineage: Bacteria
Description: bacterial SSU rRNA
Rfam family: Bacterial small subunit ribosomal RNA
Source: RNAcentral
CGGGAGGCAGCAGUGGGGAAUUUUGGACAAUGGGGGCAACCCUGAUCCAGCAAUGCCGCGUGAGUGAAGAAGGCCUUCGGGUUGUAAAGCUCUUUUGUCAGGGAAGAAACGGUCCGGGCUAAUAUCCUGGGCUAAUGACGGUACCUGAAGAAUAAGCACCGGCUAACUACGUGCCAGCAGCCGCGGUAAUACGUAGGGUGCGAGCGUUAAUCGGAAUUACUGGGCGUAAAGCGUGCGCAGGCGGUUGUGCAAGACAGAUGUGAAAUCCCCGGGCUCAGCCUGGGAAUUGCAUUUGUGACUGCACGGCUAGAGUGUGUCAGAGGGGGGUAGAAUUCCACGUGUAGCAGUGAAAUGCGUAGAGAUGUGGAGGAAUACCGAUGGCGAAGGCAGCCCCCUGGGAUAACACUGACGCUCAUGCACGAAAGCGUGGGGAGCAAACAGGAUUAGAUACCCUGGUAGUCCACGCCCUAAACGAUGUCAACUAGUUGUCGGGUCUUAAUUGACUUGGUAACGCAGCUAACGCGUGAAGUUGACCGCCUGGGGAGUACGGUCGCAAGAUUAAAACUCAAAGGAAUUGACGGGGACCCGCACAAGCGGUGGAUGAUGUGGAUUAAUUCGAUGCAACGCGAAAAACCUUACCUACCCUUGACAUGGCAGGAAUCCUGAAGAGAUUUGGGAGUGCUCGAAAGAGAACCUGCACACAGGUGCUGCAUGGCUGUCGUCAGCUCGUGUCGUGAGAUGUUGGGUUGAGUCCCGCAACGAGCGCAACCCUUGUCAUUAGUUGCUACGAAAGGGCACUCUAAUGAGACUGCCGGUGACAAACCGGAGGAAGGUGGGGAUGACGUCAAGUCCUCAUGGCCCUUAUGGGUAGGGCUUCACACGUCAUACAAUGGUACAUACAGAGGGCCGCCAACCCGCGAGGGGGAGCUAAUCCCAGAAAGUGUACCGUAGUCCGGAUUGGAGUCUGCAACUCGACUCCAUGAAGUUGGAAUCGCU